AUAGUGAAGGGAGUAUCACAACUUAGCAAUCCUCAGUCAGCCUCUUUCCCUUAUCUUCCAAAUUCACACUUCCGAGGUUGAGUAAGUAUUAGUGAAGUAAAGAUUCCUGACCAUUUCGAGGCUGAUGGCGGCAGAGAGACAAACAGAGGUUUAAUGUGAUUUAUUAACAGAGUUAAAAAUAGACGGAAAAACAGAGCACAGAAACUUGUUCUCGUGAGAGUGUGCAUGCUUUCAUUCUGAUCACUUUGUUAUACCAAAAAGAAAAAACACCCUCUGUUUCCUAUAUUCCAAAGGAAAGCAGUUGCACAUUUGAUCAGGAGUCUAAUUGUAUCUUGGCAAAGAAAAGGAGAAUUUGAGGACCUGGAGUUUUCCAUUUAGGGUAGUAUCAACAAGCUGGUCCACUGAGAGAGGAAAGCAAGCAUGUUGAAAUUGCUUUCGUUUUCAAAGCAUUUUCCUGUCCAGGAAGCAGGAGCAGUCAUGGCUGGUGAGUGGCGUCAGUUUUUCUGUUCUUUAUGGCUAUACUUUGAGAAAGUUAUAGUUCAAGGGAAAGAAGAAGGCAGACUGGAGGGGGAUCUCCCAAGACCUAAUUAUUUUACUCUGGGUAUGGAGGGAGAUAUGGGAGGUUGGGGCACAGCACUAAAAAUGCUGACCAAGUGUCUUAGUUAGUAUGUUACAACUUCUCAAAUGAAAGAAAAAUGCAAAAACAUCUGGAUCUCUGUUCUUAAACUUUUCCUUUGAUUUUAGACUCUUCUUUUAACUCAUACUGACCCAAAAUUCUCACUCAUUUCAUAAGUGUUCUGUUACGGGGAGGGUGGAAAGCCAGGCGGUUGAAUAGGUAUAUCAUUCUGAGAGUGAGAACAAUGAAUCUGAAGAAGGCUCUGCAUAAUCUUCCUUUUCCACAGAAUCUGAAGAAGAAAAUGAAGAAAGUAGAGACGAAGAAAGAGCUGCAUCAGCCCAGUCAAUGCCUGUUUCUCCAAAAAGGUAAAUUGACACCAGAAAAGUGGUUGCUAGCCUUACAAGGAGUCCUGUGUUAUAGGGGAAACACCAUUGCAUUAAGGUUAAGACCACGUAGGUUAUCUCUCACCUCUCCAUGUAACAAAGUAUCUCAAAACAAGAUUAGCACUUACAUGCCUGCUCUUUGGUUCUCCUCAGAACUCAGAAAUGAAAGUGAAAAUGAAGAACCUGAGCAUAAUGCUGUAUUGGUAGGAGCAUCAAUACCAACAUGAACAGGUACUAUCUAUCCAUGGACAUAUAAUGACAUUAUUUGAGAUAGGGCAGAAUUUUAAAAAGACUUAUGGGGUAAUGCAUAGAGAACUGGAGUAAACGCCAAGAACACUGUAUAUGCUGAGCCCAUCACUGUCACUACCUAUGUGCUUUGAUGUAAAUAUCCACACCUUUCUGAGACUCAUAUUUUUAAAUGGAAUUUAAAAUUGAAGAGCAGGGAAGUAAGUGCUAAUCUUGCUUUUAACAUCUUUAAAAAAUGUGCAAAACUACAGAUACAUAAGAAACUACUAACUGCACAAAACAGAAUAAGGAAGCAGUUAAGAAAAGUACAUACAAAGUAAUAAAAACUGCAUACAAGUAACACAUGCUAUGUAGUCACCAAGGAAACUGAUCAAUUAUCAGGCUACAUUAAAGAAUUGUGGUGUAGAAUGGUAGAUGAGCAGAAGUGAUAAUACCGUCUUUCGAGUACCAUAAUUUCAAAAGUUCUGAACAAACUUAAAAAGGAAUAAAAACCUAUAACCUUUUAUCAUGGUUUUAUCCAUUUAGUAUCUAUUAAUUGAAAAUCUACUGUAUGCUGUUCUAGUACUGUGUAUGGCAGUAAGCAAGACAGACAAAGCUCCUACCCUCAUGGACUUUGCAAUGUAGUGAAGGUAUGUAUAUAAUAAACAUGUAAAUAAUAAAUGGUAUGAUUUCAGAGAAUGCAUAAAAGAGAAUUAGAUUAUAGAAAGAUGGUGUGUGUGUGUGUGCCAGGGGUGGGCAAAGGAAGGCCAGUGAGCCACGGUGGUUAGCCAUGACCUCUCCCCAGAGGUGGCAUUUCAGUACAUGCUUGAAUGUGGGGAUGGAGUUGUGCCAAACUCUGAAAAAAAAAUGUUCUCUGGAAAGGGCAAACAAGAGCAAAGACCCCGAGACAAUAAUGCUCUUGCUGUUCAGGAAGGCUACAGACAAUCUGACUGGAGAGUAGAAAAUUAGGGGGAGCAUAAGUAGCAGAGCUAUUAAAGAGUCAGGCUGGGGAUUUUAUUUGCAAUAGAAAACACGGGAUAGUUGUUGUUUUUUUUUUUUUGGACAACUGUUUAUUAGUAGUUGAUGAUCCUUAUGAAUUCCAGGAGGGUUGCAUAGCCUUUGCUCUUCCUAGCCACCUAUUACAUUUAACGUCCAUUGCUAAAACAAGUGCUUAAACUUGUAUAAGUAUUAAAGAAUAUUUUUGUGCGAGCUAAGUUUUUUAAAUAAUAAUCUUCAAAGUGAAAGAGAGCUGUUAAUCUCCCACUUUUCUUUCCCUGUCUCUUUUAUUUCCCCUUUCUUACC
Long non-coding RNA from Saimiri boliviensis boliviensis (Bolivian squirrel monkey), 2526 nucleotides. Lineage: Eukaryota; Metazoa; Chordata; Mammalia; Primates; Cebidae. The record is from Ensembl.